This 450-nucleotide ribosomal RNA is filed under the name uncultured bacterium. RNAcentral describes it as "bacterial SSU rRNA". It matches the Rfam family "Bacterial small subunit ribosomal RNA", at positions 354 to 796 of the family's 1533-position model. The record is from RNAcentral.
GUGGGGAAUAUUGGACAAUGGGCGAAAGCCUGAUCCAGCCAUGCCGCGUGUGUGAAGAAGGUCUUCGGAUUGUAAAGCACUUUAAGUUGGGAGGAAGGGCAGUAAGUUAAUACCUUGCUGUUUUGACGUUACCAACAGAAUAAGCACCGGCUAACUUCGUGCCAGCAGCCGCGGUAAUACGAAGGGUGCAAGCGUUAAUCGGAAUUACUGGGCGUAAAGCGCGCGUAGGUGGUUCAGCAAGUUGAAGGUGAAAUCCCCGGGCUCAACCUGGGAACUGCCUCCAAAACUGCAUGACUAGAGUACGGUAGAGGGUAGUGGAAUUUCCGGUGUAGCGGUGAAAUGCGUAGAUAUAGGAAGGAACACCAGUGGCGAAGGCGACUACCUGGACUGAUACUGACACUGAGGUGCGAAAGCGUGGGGAGCAAACAGGAUUAGAUACCCUUGUAGUCC